Molecule: unclassified non-coding RNA, 918 nt
Filed under: Hevea brasiliensis (rubber tree)
Lineage: Eukaryota; Viridiplantae; Streptophyta; Magnoliopsida; Malpighiales; Euphorbiaceae
Source: RNAcentral
AACAGAGGAGAUGUAAAUUACAGAAAUCCAUGUCUGACAAUGCAUCAACCAUGGGCUUCUUUGCUUGUUUAUGGUAUUAAACGCAUUGAAGGAAGAUCUUGGCCUGCACCCAUUACUGGUCGACUUUGGAUUCAUGCUGCUAGUAAGAUUCCAGAACCAGAAACCAUCAAAGCAAUGGAGGACUUCUACAGGGAACUCUAUGCUGUGAAUGGCGUAACAGAUCUCAAGUUUCCCGAGCAUUAUCCAGUUUCAAGACUUCUAGGUUGUGUUGAAGUAGUUGGAUGUGUCACAUGUGACGAGCUAGUCAACUGGGAUCAGAUUCCCGAAGGGGUGAGACUAGAGGGACAAACAAAAUUUUGCUGGCUCUGUGAGCAACCACAGAAACUUAUCGUACCAUUUGAGAUGCGAGGGUUCCAAGGUGUUUACAACUUGGAAAGAAAGAUAUAUGAAGCUGCAAUCCGAGGUAUUUCUCCAGUUGUGCCCCCACUUCCAGUGAAAUUUCCCCUUCCAAAUCCGCGGGAUCCUUUCUCAUUGAAGCCGAGAUCCCUUGUUUCCUCCCCAAGUAGCUCUAGUACAUCUGAGGUAAACAACCGAUCUGAAAAUCUUGUUGCUGCAAUAGCUGGUGCACGAGCGGCUGCCACACAGUUUUCUAAGAAUGGCAAUCCCCUGUCCAAUACAUUCGAGGUAGGAGAUGAUUCAAGGACAGGAAAAAGGUAUCGGAGGGCUCAAUGAUGCGCGAGUUGCUGGAAAAGCUUGGUCAAAUAACUUCAUUGUAAGUUAGUUUAUCAACAAUUAUGCAGUAUAGUUAUUUAGUUGGGGUUUUGUUGUUAUGGUUCUAAGUUUCAUUUGAAAUUAUGAUAUGUAAAUUGCUGGUCAAAAUGUUCAUGUCAUGUGUAUCAUAAGUUAUGAGAAAGGAAA